UGGAACAACUAUGGCUGGUACUAUGGACAGCCAGCUACCGUCUGGUCCCUGGGCAUCCUGCUGCACCAGAUGGUCUGCGGGGAGCACCCUUUCAGGAGGGGCCACAGGAUCAGCUGGGACCAUCAGCUCUCGCUGCCACCACGGCUCUCUCAAGAGUGUCAAGAUGUCAUCAGGCGGUGUUUAUCCAUUCAUGAUGUGGACAGGCCUUCAGUAGAAGACCUGUUCUGUCAUCCUUGGAUGCAGGAUAUUCAUCUGCCAUAGAAGAAGGGACAGAGCCACAGGCACACUGAUGCAGGGCUCUGGGAAGGAGAAGGAGCCCCUGGAGAAGCUGUGCCAGGGGGGGCUGCUGCUGCUGGAGACAGCCAGGAUGACAUCAAGGAUGACAACCUCUUCCUUGACCAGGCCACCACAAAGCUGAAGCUGAUGGACUUCGAUUCUGGCACCUUCUUCAAAGCCAGGCUCCACAGAG
Molecule: long non-coding RNA, 469 nt
Organism: Prinia subflava (tawny-flanked prinia)
Lineage: Eukaryota; Metazoa; Chordata; Aves; Passeriformes; Cisticolidae
Exons: 3
Source: RefSeq, a predicted model, not a curated record